UGAGAAUAUAUCCAAUAGUAAAUAUAUUUCUAUAAAGUUCAAUUUUUCAUAUUUAUUUUUAGAAAAAAAUUCUUCUGUGGUUUCGCACUUUUCAAUUUUAGUACACUGUGGUUUAAAGUGUAUCAAGUUAGUACCAUGUAGUUUCACACUUUCUCACUUUAGUACCAUGUGGUUUAAAGUGUAUUAAGUUAGUACCAUGUGAUUUUAUUUUUGUAUCAAGUUAGUAUCAUGUGGUUUUAUUUUUGUAUCAAGCUAGUACUCUGUGGUUUUAUUUUUUUCUUAAUGAAAUAUUAAACCACAGGGUACUAAAGUGAGAAAGUGCGAAACCACAGGG
This 334-nucleotide long non-coding RNA is filed under the name Ananas comosus (pineapple). RNAcentral describes it as "long non-coding RNA (ACOM_LNC018228)". The record is from RNAcentral. Lineage: Eukaryota; Viridiplantae; Streptophyta; Magnoliopsida; Poales; Bromeliaceae.